GAUGAACGCUAGCGACAGGCCUAACACAUGCAAGUCGAGGGGCAGCACGAAUCAAGCUUGCUUGAUUUGGUGGCGACCGGCGCACGGGUGCGUAACAGGUGUGCAAUCUGUCCAUAAUCGGGGAAUAGCCCAGCGAAAGUUGGAUUAAUGCUCCAUGUGAGCCGAGAGGGCAUCCUUUUGGUUUGAAACGCGAGGGUAUAGGGUGAGCACGCUUCUGAUUAGCUAGUUGGUGAGGUAACGGCUCACCAAGGCGACGAUCAGUAGGGGUUCUGAGAGGAAGGUCCCCCACAUUGGAGCUGAGACACGGUCCAAACUCCUACGGGAGGCAGCAGUGAGGAAUAUUGGUCAAUGGGCGGGAGCCUGAACCAGCCAAGUCGCGUGAGGGAAGACGGCCCUACGGGUUGUAAACCUCUUUAGUCGGGGAGCAAAAAGGAUCACGCGUGGUCCAUUGAGCGUACCCGAAGAAUAAGCAUCGGCUAACUCCGUGCCAG
This 491-nucleotide ribosomal RNA is filed under the name uncultured bacterium. RNAcentral's name for it is "bacterial SSU rRNA". It matches the Rfam family "Bacterial small subunit ribosomal RNA", at positions 28 to 511 of the family's 1533-position model. The record is from RNAcentral.